CCUACGGGAGGCAGCAGUAGGGAAUCUUGCACAAUGGGGGAAACCCUGAUGCAGCAACGCCGCGUGCGUGAUGAAGUAUUUCGGGAUGUAAAGCUCUAUCAGCAGGGAAGAAGAUGACGGUAACUGAGGAAGAAGCCCCGGCUAACUACGUGCCAGCAGCCGCGGUCAUACGUAGGAGGCAAGCAUUAUCCGGAUUUACUGGGUGUAAAGGGAGCGUAGACGGGUAGACAAGACUGAAGUGAAAGCCCGGGGCUCAACCCAGGGACUGUUUUGGAAACUGUCUGACUGGAGUGCUGGAGAGGCAAGCGGAAUUCCUAGUGUAGAGGUGAAAUGCGUAGAUAUUAGGAAGAACACCAGUGGCGAAGGCGGCUUGCUGGACAGUAACUGACGUUGAGGCUCGAAAGCGUGGGGAGCAAACAGGAUUAGAUACCCUAGUAGUC
RNAcentral lists this ribosomal RNA (440 nucleotides) under uncultured bacterium. RNAcentral's name for it is "partial 16S ribosomal RNA". It matches the Rfam family "Bacterial small subunit ribosomal RNA", at positions 338 to 795 of the family's 1533-position model. The record is from RNAcentral.